Non-coding RNA from Notechis scutatus (mainland tiger snake), 186 nucleotides. The record is from RefSeq and is a predicted model, not a curated record. Lineage: Eukaryota; Metazoa; Chordata; Lepidosauria; Squamata; Elapidae.
UCUUUAUCAAAAUAGGCCAAGGUCAAUGGACAGAUGCCUCAUCACCACCUGAAGAUGCUCACAUGACAUUACAUACAACUUUUAAUUGGGUGGACAAUUUGAACUAUUGUGGGUGGGAACGUUGCCAUCACUUUGUAUAUGUGAUUUUCAUGGUCAAUUCCUCAGAUUCAUAAUUCCUUGGAUGCC